AUGGAACUCUUGGUGGAGCGGUGGAAUGCGUAGAUAUCAAGAGGAACGCCGAUGGUGAAGACAGUGCACUGGGCUUGUCCUGACGCUGUGGUGCGAAAGCGUGGGGAGCGAACGGGAUUAGAUACCCCGGUAGUCCACGCCGUAAACGAUGCCUACUAGGUCGUGGUUGUUCUGACACACUCACGGCCGAAGCAAAAGUGUUUAGUAGGCCGCCUGUGGAGUACGGUCGCAAGGCUAAAACUCAAAGGAAUUGACGGGGGCUCACACAAGCGGUGGAGCAUGUGGAUUAAUUCGAAGCAACGCGCAGAACCUUACCUGGGUUUGACAUGUAUGGAUGCCUGCUGUGAAAACAGUUAGGUUGCCUUCGGGUGAAACUUACACAGGUGCUGCAUGGCUGUCGUCAGCUCGUGUCGUGAGAUGUCGGGUUAAGUCCUUUAACGAGCGAAACCCCUGCCGUUAGUUGCCAGCGGGUCAUGCCGGGGACUCUAUCGAGACUGCCGGUGUCAAACCGGAGGAAGGUGGGGAUGACGUCAAGUCCUGCAUGGCCUUUAUGCCCAGGGCGUCACACGUGCUUCAAUGGGUGGUACAGAGAGACGCGAGACCGCGAGGUGGGGCUAAUCUCAAAAAAGC
This 630-nucleotide ribosomal RNA is filed under the name uncultured organism. RNAcentral's name for it is "bacterial SSU rRNA". It matches the Rfam family "Bacterial small subunit ribosomal RNA", at positions 661 to 1283 of the family's 1533-position model. The record is from RNAcentral.